RNAcentral lists this ribosomal RNA (499 nucleotides) under uncultured Lachnospiraceae bacterium. RNAcentral's name for it is "bacterial SSU rRNA". It matches the Rfam family "Bacterial small subunit ribosomal RNA", at positions 1 to 507 of the family's 1533-position model. Lineage: Bacteria; Bacillati; Bacillota; Clostridia; Lachnospirales; Lachnospiraceae. The record is from RNAcentral.
AGUUUUGAGUCCUGGCUCAGGAUGAACGCUGGCGGCGUGCCUAACACAUGCAAGUCGAGCGAAGCAUACAGAAUGAAGUUUUCGGAUGGAUUUCUGUAUGACUGAGCGGCGGACGGGUGAGUAACGCGUGGGUAACCUGCCUUAUACAGGGGGAUAACAGUUAGAAAUGACUGCUAAUACCGCAUAAGCGCACAGUACCGCAUGGUAGUGUGUGAAAAACUCCGGUGGUAUAAGAUGGACCCGCGUCUGAUUAGCCAGUUGGCGGGGUAACGGCCCACCAAAGCGACGAUCAGUAGCCGACCUGAGAGGGUGACCGGCCACAUUGGGACUGAGACACGGCCCAAACUCCUACGGGAGGCAGCAGUGGGGAAUAUUGCACAAUGGGGGAAACCCUGAUGCAGCAACGCCGCGCGAGUGAAGAAGUAUUUCGGUAUGUAAAGCUCUAUCAGCAGGGAAGAAGAUGACGGUACCUGACCAAGAAGCCCCGGCUAACUACGUG